AGAGCGAACGCUGGCGGCAGGCCUAACACAUGCAAGUCGAACGGACCCUUCGGGGUUAGUGGCGGACGGGUGAGUAACACGUGGGAACGUGCCUUUAGGUUCGGAAUAGCUCCUGGAAACGGGUGGUAAUGCCGAAUGUGCCCUUGGGGGAAAGAUUUAUCGCCUUUAGAGCGGCCCGCGUCUGAUUAGCUUGUUGUGAGUAAUGGCUCACCAAGGCUACGAUCAGUAGCUGGUCUGAGAGGAUGACAGCCACAUUGGGACUGAGACACGGCCCAAAACUCCUACGGGAGGACAGCACGUGGGGAAUCUUAGCGCAAGUGGGCGAAAGCCGUGACGCAGCCAUGGCCGCGUGUA
This 354-nucleotide ribosomal RNA is filed under the name uncultured soil bacterium. Its description in RNAcentral is "bacterial SSU rRNA". It matches the Rfam family "Bacterial small subunit ribosomal RNA", at positions 26 to 405 of the family's 1533-position model. The record is from RNAcentral.